AGAAUCCAAAUGCUGCAUCAGCCAAGUAGGGUAAUGGAUAUGGAAAGUGAACUUAAAGGUUUGCGGAUUCAGCUUGCGGAGAAGUCUUUGUACUGUAGUCAACUUAUGAAACAGGUAGCAAUGAGCAAAAGAUUCGAGGAUGACAAGUCAUUUUUGUAUGCACUUGAUGGUUCUGAAAGUUUAGGCUCAUGUUUACGUGUUUCUCCUCAAACGGAUACUGCUCCAGACAUAUCAAGUUGCCCCGUUCAGUGGUACCGUAUACAGUGUGAAGAAGAAGGAAAUAAAGAACUCAUAAUAGGGGCAACAAGACCAAUUUAUGCUCCGGAGCCCUUUGAUGUUGGGAGAUUUUUGGAAGCAGAGAUUUCUAUAAAUGAUGAGAAAGUUACAGUGAGAACAACUGGUCCAAUAAAUCCUGCUGCUGGAUUGGGUAACUAUGUGGAUGCACUCCUAAGGAAGCCGGACAAUGAGUUCAGUGUG
This 477-nucleotide unclassified non-coding RNA is filed under the name Hevea brasiliensis (rubber tree). The record is from RNAcentral. Lineage: Eukaryota; Viridiplantae; Streptophyta; Magnoliopsida; Malpighiales; Euphorbiaceae.